UACGUAGGGUGCGAGCGUUAAUCGGAAUUACUGGGCGUAAAGCGUGCGCAGGCGGUUUUGUAAGUCAGAUGUGAAAUCCCCGGGCUCAACCUGGGAACUGCGUUUGAAACUACAAGGCUAGAGUGUAGCAGAGGGGGGGUAGAAUUCCACGUGUAGCAGUGAAAUGCGUAGAGAUGUGGAGGAAUACCGAUGGCGAAGGCAGCCCCCUGGGAUAACACUGACGCUCAUGCACGAAAGCGUGGGGAGCAAACAGG
This 254-nucleotide ribosomal RNA is filed under the name uncultured bacterium. RNAcentral describes it as "partial 16S ribosomal RNA". It matches the Rfam family "Bacterial small subunit ribosomal RNA", at positions 524 to 776 of the family's 1533-position model. The record is from RNAcentral.